AUCAACGGCCAAUUCAGAGCAAAGACCUAAUAUCUUUUAUCUGUAAUGUCUGACGUUAAGGAGGGUUGGGCCUGGUUAGUGCUUGAAUGGGAGACCAGAGUGAAUACCAGGUGCUGUAGGUU
RNAcentral lists this ribosomal RNA (122 nucleotides) under Periophthalmus magnuspinnatus. Lineage: Eukaryota; Metazoa; Chordata; Actinopteri; Gobiiformes; Gobiidae. The record is from RNAcentral.